UUUCAGCGCUGGAAACGUCAAAUUUUCUUCGGAUUUCUUACGUUUGUGCAUUAUCACUACAUGGGCUGCACCUAAGCAGUAUAUUACUACAAUUGUUUACACGACUCAGCUUUAAUUCAUGAUGAAGCCAUAGACUACGGUGCGGAGGAACAUGGUGAAGGUUUGGCAGGUAAGAGCUUGAAGAGGUUAAGGCAAUCAAGGCCGUUGAGUGUCUGAGGGCUUCUUUCCUGUGCCUGGGGCAUCUUUGACUUGCUGUGGUGACUCAGCAUGCAUGCGGGGCAGUCCCUGCUGCCAGGACGCCCCUAACCCAAGUGAAGCCUCUACACCCGUUAUGAGAGGAGGAGCUGAGGUGCCCCGCUGUGCGGCAGCGUGAGCCGGGGGAUUCAGUAUGGCAUCGCUAGACUUGCCGUACCGCUGUCCACGCUGUGGGGAGCACAAGCGCUUUCGCAGCCUGUCCUCUCUCAGGGCUCACCUGGAGUACAGCCAUACCUAUGAGACCCUCUACGUCCUGUCCAAGUCCAGCAGCGUGUGUGAGGGCGCCCUCGUCCCCCUGGUGGGCCCAGCAGGGGGGCAGGAGGUUUUUGAGCGUGCCUCCUUUGGCAACAAGGAACACCACUUUCCCUACGAACUGGCGUGCGCUGAUGAUCUGGGCCUGACGACUACGGCCGCGUGCUACAUCCCAGAGGUGGAAAUUCCGCUGGGGGAGAUCUUCAUCAAACGAGACAUGACCUCUGGCAGCCCUGCCACUCCCAGCAACGCUCUGGCGGUGGCCGCCAGUGCCAUGGAGGCGGCCUAUGAGGAGGGCCUGGCCCGGCUGAGGAUGAGGGCCUUCGAGAGACUGGAGCUGGACGAACGGUUGGAGAAACUGUCAGAGGAGGUGGAAGAGAAGAUAACGGCACGUGUGGGCCGCCUGCAGGCAGAGCUGGAGAAGAAAAGCAUGGAGCUGGAGAAGGCCAAGCAGGAGAGCGUAAGGCUCGGCCAGGAGAAGCAGGACCUGGAAGGCAAGGCCUCGGAGCUUUCACACCAGGUGGACGUCUCUGUGGAGAUGCUAGCCAGCCUCAAGCAGGACCUGGUCAACAAGGAGCAGGAACUGACCCGUAAGCAGCAGGAGGUUGCUCAGAUUGACCAGUUCCUCCAGGACACUGCUGCGCGGGAAGCGAAUGCCAAGCUGCGUCUGCAACGGUUCAUCGAGGAGCUGCUGGAUCGUGCCGAUCGAGCGGAGAAACAACUGCAGAUCGUCAGCAGCUGUGGCACGACGCCCAAUGGCAGCCUCAGUCAAUGCAGCCUGUCGGGACGGAAGGGCAGCCGACGCCAGAGGAAUUCCAGUGCUUCUGCAGAUUCCGGGGCUUUGUAUCCAGUGUCAGCGCGCCGCUCUCCCAGCACAGGGGACUCCAGGCAAGUGAAAGGCCGAGGCUCAGGAACCUACGACAGCGAGAGCCUGGACAUGCUGUCUGUGGAAGGGCACUACUCCCAUGUGCCGUGCAGGCUGGGCGAGGGCAGCUGUGAGCGUGGCGGAGACCCACGUGGGUGGGGGCUCCGCAAGCAGGCCCUCCAGAACUGGCAGCACCGGCCCUACCGCAACAGCACCGAGGGCGAAGAGGGAGACGUGUCUGACGUGGGCUCUCGGACCACGGAGUCUGAGGUGGAGGUCUGGGAGCUGGAGAACCGGGCCUCCGAACCUCUGCAGUCUCGAGGCAACAAACCUCGCUAUCGCUUGGGAACAGAUGGUUCAGAGCGCCCCUCCCAGACCUGCUUGCAAGAGAAGGACAGCCCCAGCAGGUCUGUGGAGAUGAUUAGUCCAGAGACCCUGAAGAUGCGAGCGGCCCUCUUCUGCAUCUUCACCUACCUGGACACCAGGACAUUGCUGCGGGCGGCCCAGGUGUGCCACAACUGGCGAUUUGUGGCUCGGCACCCCGCCGUCUGGACCCGCGUGCUGCUAGAAAACGGCCGCAUCUCCUCCAAGUUCAUGAUCACGCUGUCUCAGUGGUGCUCACAGAGCCACUCCAUAAUCCUGCAGAACCUGAAGCCCAGGCAGCGUGGCAAAAAGGAGACCAAGGAGGACUACCUUAGGAGCACCAGGGGGGUCCUGGAGGAGGGUCUCGAAGCUCUCCUGAAGGCCGCAGGUGGGAACCUGCUCAUUCUUAAGGUAUCACAGUGCCCCAACAUUGUGACCGAUCGCUCCCUGUGGCUGGCCAGCUGCUACUGCCGUGGUCUGCAGGCUGUCACGUACAGGAGCGCUACAGACCCUGUUGGUCAGGAGGUCAUCUGGGCCCUGGGUGCUGGCUGUCGGGACAUCAUCUCCCUACAGGUGGCGCCACUUUACCCAUGCCAGCAGCCAGCCCGCUUUAGCAAUCGAUGCCUGCAGACCAUUGGCCGAUGCUGGCCACACCUGAGAGCUCUGGGCGUGGGUGGGGCUGGCUGUGGCAUUCAAGGCCUUGCAUCUUUAGCACGCAACUGUGUGCACCUCCAAGUCCUGGAGCUGGACCAUGUGAGUGAGAUCAACCAGGAGGUGGCAGCCGAGGUGUGCAGAGAGGGGCUGAAGGGCCUGGAGAUGCUGGUGUUGACCUCUACCCCAGUCACACCCAAGGCCUUGCUGCACUUCAACAGUGUGUGCCGUAACCUGAAGUCCAUCGUGGUGCAGAUUGGAAUUGCAGACUAUUUUGAAGAUCCCAACAGCCCUGAAGCCAGGAAGCUGUUCGAUGAGAUGGUGAACAAGCUUCAGGCCUUGAGGAAAAGACCAGGUUUCUCGCAGAUCCUGCAUGUGAAGGCGGACGGCACGUGUUAAUGCCCUCUCCGGGCCGUGUGAAGCUGGCUUUCUUUCGCAGACUGAUUCAUCUCCACUCCGACUGACUGACAAAGCAAACCGACAACGACAAGUGAGCUCAGGAGGCUGACCACAGGACUCAGCCGGCCCCCGUGGACAUGUGGCAUAAUUGGGGCUUCCUUUGGCCCUCAGAGCUGGUCCUCAGCAGGCCUUUGGUGAUCAUAUAGGUCAGCCUCAGCAGGCCUUCGAUGAUCUUGUAGGUCAGCCUCAACAGAGAUUAGCAGCACAGUGCUGUGGAGCUGCCCAUCUCUCAUGGUCGAGGAGCAAGACAGGGCUGACCUUCCUCUCUGAGAAGCUUGGAGGUGCAUCUGAGUCAUGUCCGUGGUCCUGCAGCACAGGCAGACACUUGGUCUGCACCGGGACCUGCAAUGCACCCUUAUUGCUCUACAUCCCUGUCAGUAUCCUUGUUUGCUCUGGUGUAGUUCUGGACGGCAAAAGGUGGAGCCCUUGGUCCAUUCCUUAGUAACUACUUCAUGUAUUAACACUCCAGAAGUGAGGCAGAGGGAACAGAACAAGUUUGCCAGAUGAUAAGGGUUUUAUUUCAGGUACUGGGAGAUUCUCGGCCUGUUCAGUAGUAGGUGAGGGAAAUGUUAGACCUCAGUGCCAUAGAUCACCAGAAUCUUCUGUGCCCUGGAGUCUCUUGGAGGUCCUGUGUUGCUGGAGGGCUGUGUUAGGUUUCAUGAACCCUUGUCUGCCUGCUCUAAUAUUCUUCAUUGGUGAAUUGACAGAAUAUGCAGUGAAUAUUAUGUUCUCUAUGUUUCUUUAUUGUAAAGACAAAAAAAAUUGUACAGCGUGACUUGCAUUCAGGGCCAAAGGUGGUGAAUCAUCCUCCCCUUGGUUGGGGUUGGGGUUAGGAUUAGGGUUGGUCUGGGUUAGGGUUGAGGUUGUGGUUGGGGUUAGGGUUGGUCUGGGUUAGGGUUAGGGUUAGGGUUGGUAUAGUUAUCUGCUCUGAUCUGUCCCACUGCUUCCCUGGUCAUCAGACUUUACUUUCUCUUGUCUCAUACUUGAUAUUUGUGAGUUUUCUGGUUCUCAUGGUUCUGCUCACCAAAGGCUUUUUGGAGGAGUUAUUUUUGCUGCCUUAUGUUUGGUCUUGUGCCACUUUAACAUGCGCUUUUCGCUUACUCUUACUUUUCCGCACCUGGCAGUUAUUACAGUGCUUCGAAUUGGCUGGCUGCUUAUGUAGCCUGAGGUUUCUGUGGUGUCGUACCCAGUAGAGUCUGCAGUACCUUUUGCUUUUAAUCAGUUAAAUUUUUCAAAAAGAGUUACUUUGUUAACAUAGAGCUUUACUGUAUAACUUUGUGUAAUUCAGAUGCUGAGCGUGAUAAAUAUAAGAUGCAUGUGAUGCACUAUUGUCAGAGUGCUGGCUCCCAAUGUGCCAUUUCCCUGCAGCUGUCUGAGCAGGUGAGCGGCUGCGUGUCCCAGCUGUCCAAGCGCUGUGGCCCGGCCCACUCGCUCGUGGCCUAUUGCUCCUUGUGACUGGAGUUGCGGGCUGACUGUACCUGCUUAGUGUCACCGUGACACUGUGGCUCCACUCGGCAGCCCACAGCUUCUCUACUCUCACCAUCUUGUUCUGGACAUACACAGGAUUCACUGCCAAUGAGCCCACAGGCCUCAGGUCAGUGCUGCUGAGCAGGAGAGGCCUUCAGGGGGCAGCCGGUCCAUGUGCCGUCUGUACUUCUCCAUACUGUACCUGUCAGGUAGUGAAACACUGGUGCUCGAUCCGUUAUGCACGAUUAUUAGCGUGCGGGAAAUUGAGCCCCAAGUCCAUAAUAUGAAACACCAGCCAACAAGGGCUUUAGCUGCCAGGAGCUGUUGUACAGUACAGUGUGUUGUGUUCUUGUAGCCUUUUUGACUACAGCAUUUUCAUGUGGGUCUCAAUCUCUCAGUACAACAAAGCAGCAUAUCAGCUAUCAAAAGCAUUGACGCACCAUUCGCUUUGUCCUGACCAUGGCUGUCCUCCAGUUGUGCUGUUAUUUUACUGAUUACAUUCAGGUGAAAGUAGUUUCAUACUCGUUUGGCCUAAGCUUGAAUAAAUCAAUAGAAUUAGUUUUUAAACUCUAACCCAACUGCUAGGCGACUGACCUUUACCCUAGGUGGCGAGUUAGCGUAGGUGCUUGCUUCAGAUUGGUUCAAGUACACCUAUAGGAGCUCUUCUGACCUGUAGUUAUCAAGAAAACACACAAAUGAUUGUUCCUAUCUCUCAGAGGUCCCGCUCCCUCUCUCGUUUCAUUAGAUCUUCUGCAUUUGCUUAGGACUUUUGCAGUUUUAUGUUAUGAAGGUUAAAGUUUUGAUGUGGAAUGAGGUUCUUGAGUUGCCAGUAUGGAAAUGUUGAAGGUGAGGUUUCGCCUGCCUGGGAGAGUGUCGUACACAUGCAUGGUCGUCCCACCAGAACUGAGGACAUACUGGUGAAUUUUAAAGUAACAUUGUGAAGCAGCUGUUUCAGAAAAGGGGAUUUGUGUGUAAAAAAAAAAAAAGUUGUGUUUGUGACAAUCUGUCUUCGUUAAGACUUUAAAUGGGUCCUAAAUGGGUAUCAUGGGAGGCUCUGUGUAUCUGCACAACAACAGCAUAGCUAACUGAACUGUACAUCCUUUAAAUGUGUCCAGUUUGCUUUCAUGCACAAAAGAUAUUAAUAUUAAAUGUCUUCAAAAGAUAGAGAUUAUUUACCUGGAGGGUUUGAUUAUUAGAACUAUUUAUUUUCAGACAGAGGCGUCUAUAUUGUCGGCAUGACCCCGUGUUAAGAAGCUCCUCAUCUUGCUGCCUUGCCUGUAUCCUGUUGUUUCUGUAGCUGGUAGCUGAUUGGUACCUGGUUGUGUAAAGCUUGCUUGCACAGGAGAUUAUGUAUUUGAUUAUAUUUUACUUAGUAGAGGCUCCAAGACAAAAAGAAAACUGUUUUGUGCAAUAUUAAAAUGCUCUCUGGCUCUUUCCAGUCUUCUGUUUCUAGUGUCAUUAGUCUCAUGUGAAGCACUUUAGAAACAUUUAUGGGUCUGCAGUUAGGACAUUUGUAAACUCCUCUGUUUUCUCUGCUGUGGGGGCACACAAUGGACAGUGUAAGUGAGGAGGAACCUCAUGGUGAACGUGUUUUUAACCUGUGCUGUACAAACAAAGGUCCGUCCCACUGCUACAGCCUGUGCGGACCUCACAGCUGGGGGAUCCACACAUGCAAACAUGCUACCUUGAUGGGUUAGUUGCAGUGUUGUAGUUGACACCUGUUACCUGGAAGUGAGGAUUCACUGCAGGAACUGCAGUCUGUGAAUACUGAUAAAAUGCAAGCUGUUACCUCUGUCCUUCGCUCACCUGUAUGGUCGUUCUGUUCUGACGACUCUGGAUGCUUCGUGGAAGCACUGCUUCACUGGUGUCUCUGACAGGGGAACCUGUCCAUGUUCACUGUCUCUCAUCCUCUUUUAAUGUUACAUUGAGACCAACUGUGUGCCAUUGUAAUGUAUACAUUGUAAAUUUUAAUGAAUGAUGUAGUUUUCCAUG
RNA transcript from Brienomyrus brachyistius, 6304 nucleotides. It is a transcript of the gene named F-box only protein 41-like, with no coding region annotated. NCBI's taxonomy places the organism in Eukaryota, Metazoa, Chordata, Actinopteri, Osteoglossiformes, Mormyridae. The record is from RefSeq and is a predicted model, not a curated record. The transcript is spliced from 14 exons.